ACUCAAACCAGCUGUAUUAAGGAAGGUGCAAGCUUUUGGGAUUUCUGUUUGGAUUUAGUUUAGGUUCAAAAGAGCACGCACAGAUCCUGAGUGUUGUCAAGCACCCGUGACUGGGAAACGGAGGCGUCCGAUCCGUAUUGGAGUCAAUUCGCCACUUAAUUGAACACAGCCUCGAAGGGAAGGGCCAUAUUUGUGGGCCUGUCUAACAAUUAAGAGUGACCACAUGGAAUGGGGGAUGAAAGGGUUAAAGAAGAACAAAUAUUGAACACAGCUUUUCUAUGAACAAACUGCAGGCAGCUGCUGCUUUGCAAGGGGAACUUCUUGGCUGCCAUUUCUGGAUGUCAAGGCUGCAGAUACACUGGUCAGGACCCUGGGUAGAGAGAGAUGCGUCAGAAUGCGGCUCCUUUCAGAAAGGCUUCUCCGGAGAAAAACCCUUUGAAAAGAUUCAGCACGUUGCCAUGGAGAACAUCCCACUGAAGGAAUGUAUAGAAGUAGCAGGGAUCUGCAAUGAGAUGGGAGAAGGCAACAGGCUGUGUGGGAACCACUGAAGCUGGGAUGGCAGGGAAAGAACAUCUUAGGCUAACUCUUCAAGCCUUGCUGUCACAUUUGCUUUUGAGUCUAUGGUGUCAGCUGCCUACCAGUUGCUUUCAUCUCUAGAAAUCUGUGACUUGCAGUAUGACAAGAACAAAAGGUGACAAUACAAAGGACAAAGGGCAAGGAAUACAGACGGAGAAGCCGCUUAGAGUCUAGGAUGGCAGAGGUUCUCUUGAUCAUUUCAUUUUUGAGCGCUUGUAGAGCUUUGGUGUACCAGAGGUGCUUGAACAGCUUACCACACCACAGAUGAAUGGCCUUUGGAUUUCUCCUAAGAAAAUGUGGCUACCUGAAAUUCAACUCCAUUUUCUGGUCUUCAAUAUUUCUUUUGUGUUCAGUUUGCCAGCUGAGGAGAAGUGGCUAAGCAUAGCCUGUUACUGAUGCUAAAGCCCAAGUUCUGAACCUAACAACUCCAGCAACAUGAUCCUGUUUCAAGAGACAAAAAAGUGACUAAUGAAAGAAAACAAUUGAUGUGCUAUGUAGAGUUUAAAAGAAGGUAAAGAGAAUAAAUUAAAAGCAACAACUCUCUUCU
This 1123-nucleotide long non-coding RNA is filed under the name Mus musculus (house mouse). RNAcentral describes it as "predicted gene 14461". The record is from RNAcentral. Lineage: Eukaryota; Metazoa; Chordata; Mammalia; Rodentia; Muridae.